GAUGAAGAACGUAGCGAAAUGCGAUAAGUAGUGUGAAUUGCAGAAUUCAGUGAAUCAUCGAAUCUUUGAACGCACAUUGCGCCCCUUGGUAUUCCAUGGGGCAUGCCUGUUCGAGCGUCAUUUGUACCCUCAAGCUUUGCUUGGUGUUGGGUGUUUGUCCUCUCCCUCGCGUUUGGACUCGCCUUAAAAUAAUUGGCAGCCGGCGUAUUGAUUUCGGAGCGCAGUACAUCUCGCGCUUUGCACUCAUAACGACAGCGUCCAAAAGUACAUUUUACACUCUUGACCUCGGAUCAGGUAGGGAUACCCGCUGAACUUAAGCAUAUCAAUAAGCGGAGGA
This 337-nucleotide unclassified non-coding RNA is filed under the name soil metagenome. Its description in RNAcentral is "partial contains 5.8S ribosomal RNA, internal transcribed spacer 2, and large subunit ribosomal RNA". The stretch from base 1 to 120 matches the Rfam family "5.8S ribosomal RNA", at positions 35 to 154 of the family's 154-position model. The record is from RNAcentral.